CCCCCACAAUGGGACUGAACACGGCCAUACUCCUACGGGAGCACACGGGAAUAUGCGCAAUGGACGGAAGUCAGACGCACGACGCCGGUGGGUGAGAAGCUUCGGGUUGUAAAGCUCUUUUCAGGGGAGCGAGAAAGGACGGUACCCUUGGAAUAAGCGUCGGCUACUACGUGCCAGCAGCCGCGGUAAGACGUAGACGCAAGCGUUAUCCGGAUUUACUGGGCGUAAGCGCCUGUAGGCGGUCAAGUAAGUCGGAUGUGAAAGCCCCGUGCUCAACGCGGGGAAGCCAUUCGAUACUGCGUGACUAGAGAACGGCAGAGGGAAACGGAAUUUCUGGUGUAGCGGUAAAAUGCGCAGAGAUCAGAAAGAACACCGAUGGCGAAGGCAGUUUCCUAGGCCGCAUCUGACGCUGAGAGGCGAAAGCUAGGGGAGCAAACAGGAUUAGAGACCCUGGUAGUCCUAGCUGUAAACGAUGGAUGCUAGGUGUGGGCCGGAAAGGUCCGUGCCGUAGUUAACGCGAUAAGCAUCCCGCCUGGGGAGUACGGCCGCAAGGCUAAAACUCAAACGAAUUGACGGGGACCCGCACAAGCAGCGGAGCGUGUGGUUUAAUUCGAUGCUACACGCAGAACCUUACCUGGGCUUGACAUGUAGGUGGUAGUGAAGUGAAAGCGGAGCGACCCUUCGGGGAGCCUACACAGGUGCUGCAUGGCUGUCGUCAGCUCGUGCCGUGAGGUGUCGGGUUAAGUCCCGUAACGAGCGCAACCCUUGUCCUUAGUUACAAGUGUCUAAGGAGACUGCCGGUGACAAACCGGAGGAAGGUGGGGAUGACGUCAAGUCAGCAUGGCCCUUAUGUCCAGGGCGACACACACGCUACAAUGGUCGGUACAAUGGGCAGCGCAGCCGCGAGGUGAAGCGAAUCCCAACAAAGCCGAUCCCAGUUCGGAUUGCAGGCUGCAACCCGCCUGCAUGAAGCCGGAGUUGCUAGUAACCGCGCGUCAGCCAUAGUGCGGUGAAUACGUUCCCGGGUCUUGUACACACCGCCCGUCACGUCAUGGGAGUUGGUAACGCACUGAAGCCGGUAGUCUGACCUAACGGAGGACGCCGUCGAAGGCGGGACUGGCGACUGGGACGAAGUCGU
This 1138-nucleotide ribosomal RNA is filed under the name uncultured organism. Its description in RNAcentral is "bacterial SSU rRNA". It matches the Rfam family "Bacterial small subunit ribosomal RNA", at positions 305 to 1489 of the family's 1533-position model. The record is from RNAcentral.